Molecule: small nuclear RNA, 103 nt
Organism: Erinaceus europaeus (western European hedgehog)
Lineage: Eukaryota; Metazoa; Chordata; Mammalia; Eulipotyphla; Erinaceidae
Source: Ensembl
UUGCUUCAGCAGCACAUAUACUAAAAUUGGAACAAUACAGAGAAAAUUAUCAUGAUCCCUGCAGAAGGAUGACAUACAAAUAAGCCAAGUGAUUAUAAAAUAG